CUGGUUGAUCCUGCCAGUAGUCAUAUGCUUGUCUCAAAGAUUAAGCCAUGCAUGUCUAAGUACAAGCCCCACUAAGGUGAAACCGCGAAUGGCUCAUUAAAUCACACCUAAUGUACUGGACAGUCUCAGUUACUUGGAUAACUGCGGUAAUUCUGGAGCUAAUACAUGCGUACUAGCCGCGACUCACGGAGCGGUGCUUUUAUUAGAUCAAAACCAAACGGCCUCGAGCCGUCCCCCUGGUGAUUCUGAAUAACUUUGGGCUGAUCGCACGGACUCGUUCCGGCGACGUGUCCUUCCAAGGUGUGCCCUAUCAACUGUCGACUGUGGCAUAGACGCCCACAGUGGUUUUGACGGGUAACGGGGAAUUAGGGUUCGAUUCCGGAGAGGGAGCCUGAGAAACGGCUACCACUUCUACGGAAGGCAGCAGGCACGCGAAUUACCCACUGGCCGAAGGCCGAGGUAGUGACGAAAAAUAACGAUACCGGACUCAUCCGAGGCCCGGUAAUCGGAAUGAGUACACUUUAAAUCCUUUAACGAGGAACAAUUGGAGGGCAAGUCUGG
Molecule: ribosomal RNA, 561 nt
Filed under: uncultured eukaryote
Lineage: Eukaryota
Description: SSU rRNA
Rfam family: Eukaryotic small subunit ribosomal RNA
Source: RNAcentral